This 312-nucleotide ribosomal RNA is filed under the name uncultured fungus. RNAcentral describes it as "eukaryotic LSU rRNA". The stretch from base 1 to 52 matches the Rfam family "5.8S ribosomal RNA", at positions 103 to 154 of the family's 154-position model. The record is from RNAcentral. Lineage: Eukaryota; Fungi.
AACGCACCUUGCGCUCCUUGGUAUUCCGAGGAGCAUGCCUGUUUGAGUGUCAUGGUAUUCUCAACCCAUUCAGUAUUGUCAAAGAUAUUGAACUGGGCUUGGAUGUGGAGGAAAUUUGCUGGUCUCAGAUUGAGAAUCAGCUCCUCUGAAAUAUAUUAGUGUGAAUGUUCACCAAGCAUUCUCUCAGUGUGAUAAUUAUCUACGCUGUGAGUGCUUAGGUAAAAAUUGAAUUCAUGCUUCAAACUGUCUACAACAGUAGACAAUCUUUUGACAUCUGACCUCAAAUCAGGUAGGACUACCCGCUGAACUUAA